Non-coding RNA from Anaerolineae bacterium SM23_ 63, 438 nucleotides. Lineage: Bacteria; Bacillati; Chloroflexota; Anaerolineae. The record is from Rfam.
UCUACGGAGAGUUUGAUCCUGGCUCAGGAUGAACGCUGGCGGCGUGCCUAAUACAUGCAAGUCGAACGAGGCCCUUUGUAUUCGUACAAAGGUGUCCUAGUGGCGAACGGGUGAGUAACACGUAGGUGACCUGCCCCGAAGAGGGGGACAACCCCGGGAAACUGGGGCUAAUACCCCAUAACCUCCAGGGAGUUAGAGGGCCGGUAGGGUAAUGGCCUACCAAGGCGACGACGGGUAGGGGACCUGAGAGGGUGGCCCCCCACACUGGCACUGAAACACGGGCCAGACACCUACGGGUGGCAGCAGUAGGGAAUAUUGCCCAAUGGGCGAAAGCCUGAGGCAGCAACGCCGCGUGCGCGAUGAAGGCCUUCGGGUUGUAAAGCGCUUUUCUGGGGGAAGAGGAAGGACGGUACCCCAGGAAUAAGUCUCGGCUAACUA